AGACCCGAAACCCGGUGAUCUAGCCAUGGGCAGGUUGAAGGUUGGGUAACACUAACUGGAGGACCGAACCGACUAAUGUUGAAAAAUUAGCGGAUGACCUGUGGCUGGGGGUGAAAGGCCAAUCAAACCGGGAGAUAGCUGGUUCUCCCCGAAAGCUAUUUAGGUAGCGCCUCGUGAAUUCAUCUCCGGGGGUAGAGCACUGUUUCGGCUAGGGGGCCAUCCCGGCUUACCAACCCGAUGCAAACUGCGAAUACCGGAGAAUGUUAUCACGGGAGACACACGGCGGGUGCUAACGUCCGUCGUGAAGAGGGAAACAACCCAGACCGCCAGCUAAGGUCCCAAAGUCAUGGUUAAGUGGGAAACGAUGUGGGAAGGCCCAGACAGCCAGGAUGUUGGCUUAGAAGCAGCCAUCAUUUAAAGAAAGCGUAAUAGCUCACUGGUCGAGUCGGCCUGCGCGGAAGAUGUAACGGGGCUAAACCAUGCACCGAAGCUGCGGCAGCGACACUGUGUGUUGUUGGGUAGGGGAGCGUUCUGUAAGCCG
RNAcentral lists this ribosomal RNA (541 nucleotides) under Salmonella enterica. RNAcentral's name for it is "partial 23S ribosomal RNA". It matches the Rfam family "Bacterial large subunit ribosomal RNA", at positions 711 to 1250 of the family's 2925-position model. Lineage: Bacteria; Pseudomonadati; Pseudomonadota; Gammaproteobacteria; Enterobacterales; Enterobacteriaceae. The record is from RNAcentral.